This 468-nucleotide ribosomal RNA is filed under the name uncultured bacterium. RNAcentral's name for it is "partial 16S ribosomal RNA". It matches the Rfam family "Bacterial small subunit ribosomal RNA", at positions 28 to 507 of the family's 1533-position model. The record is from RNAcentral.
GACGAACGCUGGCGGCGUGCUUAACACAUGCAAGUCGAACGGAAAGGCCCUGCUCUUGUGGGGUGCUCGAGUGGCGAACGGGUGAGUAACACGUGAGUAACCUGCCCUUGACUUUGGGAUAACUUCAGGAAACUGGGGCUAAUACCGGAUAGGAGCUCCUGCUGCAUGGUGGGGGUUGGAAAGUUUCGGCGGUUGGGGAUGGACUCGCGGCUUAUCAGCUUGUUGGUGGGGUAGUGGCUUACCAAGGCUUUGACGGGUAGCCGGCCUGAGAGGGUGACCGGCCACAAUGGGACUGAGAUACGGCCCAGACUCCUACGGGAGGCAGCAGUGGGGAAUAUUGCACAAUGGGCGGAAGCCUGAUGCAGCAACGCCGCGUGCGGGAUGACGGCCUUCGGGUUGUAAACCGCUUUCGCCUGUGACGAAGCGUGAGUGACGGUAAUGGGUAAAGAAGCACCGGCUAACUACGUG